CCAAGCAUUAUUCGUUAAAGACAUAGAUAAUUUUCUUUUCCUCCCCCCCCCCAUCCCCCCCAUAGCCGACGCGUAAGUCCACUGGGCAUUAGAUGUUUUCUUGAUUUGAACCCAUUGCUUUGUUGAUAGUAUUUGCAUUAGAGUGUUCAUUUAGAGUCCAUCCUCUGUCAUGUCCCCUCAACCUCUGUAUUCAGGCAGUUGCUUUUUCUCGGCGUUUCCACUCCCAUAGUUUAUCCUUUGCUUAUGAAUGGUGUUUUUUUCUCCUGGAUCCCUGCAAGUUGUUCAGGGACAUUACACCGCCACUAAUGGAGAAGUCCAUUACGUUCGAUUAUACCACCAGUGUAUUAGUCUCUGUGUACAAUGUUCUCCUGGUUCUGCUCCUCUCACUCUGCAUCACUUCCUGGAGGGUGUUCCAGUCUCCAUGGAACUUCUCCACUUUGUUUUUUCCCUUCUGAUUUUAGUUAUAUUGGUUUUGUUUGUACAAAAGCUUUUUAGUUUGAUGUAGUCAAAAUUAUUUAUUUUACAUUUUGUGAUUCUUUCUAUAUCUUGCUUGGUUUUAAAGCCUUUCCCCUCCCAAAGGUCUGACAUGUAUACUAUUCUGUGUUUACCCAAUUUACUUAUGGUUUCCUUCUUUAUGUUUAAGUCACUCACCCAUUUUGAAUUUAUCUUGGUGUAGGGUGUGAGGUGUUGAUCUAUUCCUAGUCUCUCCCACACUGUCUUCCAAUUUUCCCAGCAGUUUUUAUCGAAUAGUGGAUUUUUGUCCCAAAAGCUGGGAUCUUUGGGUUUAUCGUAUACUGUCUUGCUGAGGUCGCUUUCCCCCAGUCUAUUCCACUGAUCUUCCUUUCUGUUUCUUAGCCAGUACCAAAUUGUUUUGAUGACUGCUGCUUUGUAAUAUAGUUUUAGGUCAGGGACUGCAAGGCCCCCAUCAUAUGUGUUUUUUUUUCAUUAUUUCCCUGGAUAUCCUUGAUCUUUUGUUCUUCCAAAUGAACUUUGUUAUGGUUUUUUCUAAAUCAGUGAGGAAGUAUUUUGGUAGUUCAAUGGGUAUGGCACUAAAUAGAUAAAUAAGUUUGGGUAGGAUGGUCAUUUUUAUUAUAUUGGCUCGUCCUAUCCAGGAGGAGGGUUCCCAGGGUCUGUGCUGUUGAUCGUUUUGAAUUUCGGCGCCUUAGGAGCUUAUAGUUUGAGAUCAGUCGGGAAGGGUUUUCCGGAGAUCUGAACUUUAGCUUUCUCUAAGCCGCCAUCUUAACCGGAAGUCCAAUGUGGGGGAGAUUUAAAAAAAAUAAUGAAGGAUAGCAAAGAAACCUUGUACAUU
RNAcentral lists this long non-coding RNA (1309 nucleotides) under Monodelphis domestica (gray short-tailed opossum). Its description in RNAcentral is "lncRNA (ENSMODG00000045890.1)". The record is from RNAcentral. Lineage: Eukaryota; Metazoa; Chordata; Mammalia; Didelphimorphia; Didelphidae.